UGUGCGGAUUUUGGGAAGCCGAAAUCUCUGUAGAUGGGCCAGAAUCUUAAGAUCUAACGGGAAGGAUCAGGCCGGCCCAUCCUAGUAGCAGCAGCCAUCGAACAUUCGAUCCACCAACAACGACAGGCUGAGCAACCACUAGUUUUUCACAACCUUUACGUUGAUGGCUUCACCAAACCACGGUCAAAGCCGUGACCCCCCCCCCUCUACUCCUUACAUACCGAUCGUCCUACAGCCAAAUGUGCUUUGCUUUCGACGACGGCACAUGUAGAUCAACAGAAGCAGAUACUGCCACUAGCGCAUAUUACACGCGUGCAGAUGUACGCCUACGUGGGGCUCGUGGGCGGCGCAGCUGCGCUCGUGCUGCUGCUGCUGCUGCGGCACCAGGCGCGCAGGUGGAGGAACCCUCGCUGCGGCGGCCAACUCCCGCCGGGCUCCAUGGGCCUCCCGCUCGUUGGCGAGACGUUCCAGUUCUUCUCCUCCGACGCCUCCUUGGACAUCCCUCCCUUCAUCCGGCACAGGCUGGCUAGGUACGCCUUUGUUAAUGGGCCAGAGAACGGGCUGGGUUUCUUUUGCUGUUUUUUUACUAGUUUGGGCUGCAAGUUCAGAUAUGGGCCGAUAUUCAAGACCAGCCUGGUGGGGCACCCGGUGGUGGUGUCGGCCGACGAGGAGCUGAACCACAUGGUGUUCCAGCAGGAGGGGCAGCUGUUCCAGAGCUGGUACCCGGACUCGUUCGUGGAGAUCCUGGGGAAGGACAACGUCGGGGAGCAGCAGGGCGCCAUGUUCAGGUACCUCAAGAACAUGGUGCUCAGGUACUUCGGCCCCGAGAGCCUCAAGGAAGGCAUCAUCCGCGACGUCGAGCGCGCCGUCUCCAGCUCCCUCUGCACCUGGUCCACCUUGCCGGCCGUCGAGCUCAAAGAAGCCGUCUCCACUAUGGUGUUCGAUCUUGCUGCAAGCAAGCUGCUCGGCCUGGAGCCGUCGAGGUCAAAGAUUUUGCGGAAGAGCUUCUUCGACUUCGUUCGAGGGCUCAUCUCCUUCCCGCUGUAUCUGCCAGGGACAGCUUACUACUCAUGCAUGCAGGGGCGGAGGCGCGCGAUGGUGGUGCUAGAGCAAGUUCUGGAGGAGAGGAAGCAAUCGACAGGAUUGCAGCGAGGAGGAGAAGCGCAGCAGCACGGCGACUUCCUGGAUUAUGUGAUCCAGGAGAUCACGAAGGAAAAGCCGGUCAUGACAGAGAAGAUGGCGCUCGACCUGAUGUUCGUGCUCCUCUUCGCCAGCUUCCACACGACGUCGCUGGCGCUCACCCUGGCCGUCAAGCUGCUCGCCGACCACCCUCUCGUCCUGGAGGAGCUCACGGUGGAGCAUGAAACGAUUCUGAAGGACCGUGAGGCAGGCAGCGAGCUAGAUAGAAUCACAUGGAAGGAGUACAAAUCCAUGGCAUUCACAUCUCAGGUCAUAAACGAGACGGUCCGUUUGGCCAACAUCGCUCCUGUCAUCUUCAGAAAGGCACUUAAAGACAUACGGUUCAAUGUGACAUCCAUUGGUGACAGGAUACACAAUUCCAGCAGGAUGGGGAGUGAUGGUCUGUCCACCAGCAGUGCACUUAAAUCCAUAUAUUUAUCCGGAUCCUCUCACCUUCAUCCCUUCAAGGUUUAAGGAUAAACCAGAGAUAAACCGUGGAUCAAAACACUUCAUGGCAUUCGGCGGAGGACUACGGUUCUGCGUUGGAGCAGACUUCAGCAAGCUACAAUUGGCUAUUUUCCUCCAUUUCCUUGUGACAAAAUACAGGUGGAUACCGCUGGGAGCAAGCAGGGUAGUCCGAACUCCAGGACUAGAAUUUCCUGAUGGCUAUCGGAUCAAAGUUAUCCAGAGACAUUAACAAGGCCUAACUCCAUCAGCAUCCGAAAAUACUACAAAUGCUAUUUACAAUGGCCAGUAUCAACAAUAUAAAGAAAACAUGCUCAAAUGGUUCCAAAUAUAAGUCAAUUUUAGGCUUAUGCACAAGACUUGAGAAAAUAACUCUCAUGCCCUUCAUGUAUACUAUCUUGAAAAAGACGACAAAUUUUAUUUGUGAGAGGGAUAGCAUUCUUGUUUUUUGAGAAUGACAGGCAUAGAAGAAAACAUAAACAAUGUCUAGAAUUCCAAAACGACUUUAUGUUGAGAGAUGUACAUUUAUUAUUGGACGCAUGGGCUGUUUACUUAUUUAUAUUUUUGACA
Molecule: non-coding RNA, 2214 nt
Organism: Oryza sativa Japonica Group (Japanese rice)
Lineage: Eukaryota; Viridiplantae; Streptophyta; Magnoliopsida; Poales; Poaceae
Source: RefSeq, a predicted model, not a curated record